UGUUUUUUAUGUUUAAUUAGUGUUUUUGCCAAGUAGAACCGUUGGGAAGACUUGGGGAAAGUCUUGUUGAACUUGCUGUAAAAAACAGAAACUUUAGCGCUCACGAGAACUGCUGUCAUUUUUAUUUUAAGAGUGCUACUUAGUUAAUUAUUUUUGCAGAUGAUUAUUAGAUAAAUUACUCACGUCCAUCAAUUUAUUUUAGAAUUUUUGGGGUUCCAGAUCUUGCGCUAGCUAUAGAUUACUACAGACUGUUCUGUUUUUGACAGAUUCUGUUUUUCGUGUGUUGUUUGCUUAUUUUGAUGAAUCUAUGGCUAGUAAAAUAGUUUAUAAUCCAUAGAUAAGUUGGAAUACAGUAGGUUUAACACCAAUAUAAAUAAAUAAUGAGUUCAUUACAGUACCUUAAAGUGGUCUUUUGUUUUCUUUCGCUAACGAAGCUCAUGAGUUUUCUAUUUUGAGUUUUGUGUUGUGAAGUUUUCAAGUUUUGUGUGAUUUCUUUUGAUGGAUCAUGGAACAAGGAGUGGCAAGAGCCUACGCUUGGGGAUGACCAUGGCACCCCCAAGAUAAUCCAAGGACACCAAAAAGUCAAAGCUAGGGGAUGCCCCGGAAGGCAUCCCCUCUUUCGUCCACUUCCAUCGGUAAUUUACUUGGAGCUAUAUUUUUAUUCACCAACAUGAUAUGUGUUUUGCUUGGAGCGUCUUGUAUUAUUUGUGUCUUUGUGUCUUAGUAUGCCACAAUCAUCCUUGCUGUACACACCUUUUGAGAGAGCCAUACAUGAAUUAAAAUUUGAUAGAAUACUCUAUGUGCUUCACUUAUAUCUUUUGAGCUAAGUAGUUUUGCUCUAUGUGCUUCACUUAUAUCUUUUGAGCUAGAUAGUUUUGCUCUAUGUGCUUCACUUAUAUCUUUUGAGUGUUAUAAUUUUGCUCUAUGUGCUUCACUUAGAUCAUUUAGAGCACGGUGGUGGAUUUGUUUUAAAGAAACUAUUGAUCUCUCAUGCUUCACUUAAAUUAUUUUGAGAGUCUCUUAAUAGCAUGGUAAUUUGCUUAAUAAUAAUAUGCUUGGUAUUCAAGAUUUGUGAAACUUUCUUUUGAGUGUGUUGAAUACUAAGAAAAGAUUGAAGCAUGAUAAUUGUUUUGAGAUAUGGAGGUGAUAAUAUUAAAGUCAUGCUAGUUGAGUAGUUGUGAAUUUAAAGAAUACUUGUGUUAAGGUUUGUGAUUCCCGUAGCAUGCACGUAUGGUGAACCGUUAUGUAACGAAGUCAGAGCAUGAUUUAUUUAUUGAUUGUCUUCCUUAUGAGUGGCGGUCGGGGACGAGUGAUGGUCUUUUCCUACCAAUCUACCCCCCUAGGAGCAUGCGCACAAUACUUUGCUUUGAUAACUUCAAGAUUUUUGCAAUAAGUAUAUGAGUUCUUUAUGACUAAUGUUGAGUCCAUGGAUUAUACGCACUCUCACCCUUCCACCUUUGCUAGCCUCUCUAAUACAGCGCACCUUUCGCCGGUAUCAUACACCUACCAUAUACCUUCCUCAAAACAGCCACCAUACCUACCUAUUAUGGCAUUUCCAUAGCCAUUCCGAGAUAUAUUGCCAUGCAACUUUCCACCACCUAGUUCAUCAUGACACAUUCAUCAUUGUCAUAUUGCUUAGCAUGAUCAUGUAGUUGACAUAGUAUUUGUGGCAAAGCCACCGUUCAUAAUUUCUUCAUACAUGUCACUCUUGAUUAAUUGCAUAUCCCGGUACACCGCCGGAGGCAUCCAUAUAGAGUCAUACUUUGUUUUAGAAUCGAGUUGUAAUCAUUGAGUUGUAAAUAAAUAAAAGUGUGAUGAUCAUCAUUCAAUAGAGCAUUGUCCCAAUAAAAAAAGAGAAAGGCCAAAAAAAGAAGCCCCCCCCCAAAAAAAUAAAAAUAAAAAGGGUCAAUGCUACUAUCCUUUUACCACACUUGUGCUUCAAAGUAGCACCAUGAUAUAGCGAGUCUCAUAUAUUGUGCUUCAAAGUAGCACCAUGUUCUUCAUAUAGAGAGUCUCAUAUGUUGUCACUUUCAUAUACUAGUGGGAAUUUUACAUUAUAGAACUUGGCUUGUAUAUUCCAAUAAUGGGCUUCCUCAAAUUGCCUUAGGUCUUCGUGAGCAAGCAAGUUGGAUGCACACCCACUAGUUUCUUUUGUUGAGCUUUCAUACAUUUAUAGCUCUAGUGCAUCCGUUGCAUGGAAAUCCCUACUCACUCACAUUGAUAUCUAUUGAUGGGCAUCUCCAUAGCCCAUUGAUACGCCUAGUUGAUGUGAGACUAUCUUCCCCUCCUUUUUGUCUUCUCCACAACCACCAUUCUAUUCCACCUAUAGUGCUAUAUCCAUGGCUCACGCUCAUGUAUUGCGUGAAGAUUGAAAAAGUUUUGAAAAAGUUAGAAUAUGAAACAAUUGCUUGGCUUGUCAUCGGGGUUGUGCAUGAUUUGAAUACUUUGUGUGGUGAAGAUGGAGCAUAUCCAAACUAUAUGAUUUUGUAGGGAUAACUUUCUUUGGCCAUGUUAUUUUGAGAAGACAUAUUUGCUUUAUUAGUAUGCUUGAAGUAUUAUUAUUUUUAUGUCAAUAUAAACUUUUGUCUUGAAUCUUUCUAAUCUGAAUAUUCAUACCACAAUUAAGAAGAUUUGCAUUGAAAUUAUGCCAAGUAGCACUCCGCAUCAAAAAUUCUCUUUUUAUCAUUUACCUACUCGAGGACGAGCAGGAAUUAAGCUUGGGGAUGCCUGAUGCGUCUCCAACGUAUCUAUAAUUUUUGAUUGCUUCAUGCUAUAUUAUCUACUGUUUUGGACUAUAUUGGGCUUUAUUUCCCACUUUUAUAUUAUUUUUGGGACUAACCUAUUAACCGGAGGCCCAGCCCAGAAUUGCUGUUUUUUGCCUAUUUUAGUGUUUCAGAUAAACGGAAUAUCAAAUGGAGUCUAAACAGAAUAAAAUCUUCGGGAAUGUGAUUUUCUCACCGAACGUGAUCUAGGAGACUUGGACCCUGCUCCAAGGAACAAAAGAGGCGGUCACGAGGGUGGGGGGCGCCCCCCCUAGGGCGCGCCCCCUGCCUCGUGGGCCCCUCGUUGCUCCUCCGGCAUACUUCUUCCUCCUAUAUAUACACACGUACAACCAAACGAUCAGAACAGGAGCCAAAAACCUAAUUCCACCGCCGCAACUUUCUGUAUCCACGAGAUCCCAUCUUGGGGCCUGUUCCGAAGCUCUGCCGGAAGACGACCGUCAUCAUGGAGGGCUUCUAUAUCAUCCUAGCCCCUCCGAUGAAGUGUGAGUAGUUUACCUCAGACCUUUGGGUCCAUAGUUAGUAGCUAGAUGGCUUCUUCUCUCUCUUUGAAUCUCAAUACAAAGUUCUCCCCCUGUCUUGUGGAGAUCUAUUCGAUGUAAUCUUCUUUUUGCGGUGUGUUUGUUGAGACCGAUGAAUUGUGGGUUUAUGAUCAAGUCUAUCUAUGAAUAAUAUUUGAAUCUUCUCUGUCUUACGUAUGAUUGGUUAUCUUUGCAAGUCUCUUCGAAUUAUCCGUUUGGUUUGGCCAACUAGAUUGGUAGUUCUUGCCAUGGGAGAAGUGCUUAGCUUUGGGUUCGAUCUUGCGGUGUCCUUACCCAGUGACAGAAGGGGCAGCAAGGCACGUAUUGUAUCGUUGCCAUCGAGGAUAACAAGAUGGGUUUUAUUUCAUAUUGCAUGAAUUUAUCUCUCUACAUCAUGUCAUCUUGCUUAAGGCGUUGCUCUGUUUUUAACUUAAUACUCCAGGUGUAUGCUGGAUAGCGGUCGAUGAGUGGAGUAAUAGUAGUAGAUGCAGAAUCGUUUCGAUCUACUUGUCAUGGACGUGAUGCCUAUAUACAUGAUCAUGCCUAGAUAUUCUCAUAACUAUGCUCAAUUCUGUCAAUUGCUCAACAGUAAUUUGUUCACCCACCGUAGAAUACUUAUGCUCUCGAGAGAAACCACUAGUGAAACCUAUGGCCCCCGGGUCUAUUCUCAUCAUAUCAAUCUCCAUCACUUUAAUCUUGCUUUGCUUUUUUACUUUGCUUUUACUUUUUACUUUGCAUCUUUAUACCAAAAUACCAAAAAUAUUAUAUCUAUUAGAUCUCACUCUCGUAAGUGACCGUGACAGGAUUGACAACCCCUAAUCACGUUGUUUGCGAGUAGCUAUCGCUUUGUGCAGGUACGAGGGACUUGAGCGUGGGCUCCUACUGGAUUGAUACCUUGGUUAUCAAAAACUGAGGGAAAUGCUUACGCUACUCUGCUGCAUCAUCCCUUCCUCUUCAGCGAAAACCAACGCAAGCUCAAGACGUAGAACAUGUGUGAAUACAUAGACAAAUAGAGUGUCCCUAGUAUGCCUCUACUAGACUAGCUCAUUAAUCAAAGAUGGUUAAGUUUCCUGACCAUAGACAUGUGUUAUCAUUUGAUGAACGGGAUCACAUCAUUAGAGAAUGAUGUGAUGGACAAGACCCAUCCAUUAGCUUAGCAUUAUGAUCGUUUAGCUUAUUGCUAUUGCUUUCUUCAUGACUUAUACAUGUUCCUAUGACUAUGAGAUUAUGCAACUCCUGAAUAAAGGAGGAACACUUAGUGUGCUAUCAAACGUCACAACGUAACUGGGUGAUUAUAAAGAUGCUCUACAGGUGUCCCCGAUGGUGUUUGUUGAGUUGGCAUAGAUCGAGAUAGGAUUUGUCACUCCGUGUAUCGGAGAGGUAUCUCUGGGCCCUCUCGGUAAUGCACAUCACUAUGAGCCUUGCAAGCAAUGUGACUAAUGAGUUAACCACGGUAUAAUGCAUUACGGAACGAGUAAAGAGACUUGCUGGUAACGAGAUUGAAUUAGGUAUGAUGAUAACAACGAUCGAAUCUCGGGCAAGUAACAUACCGAUGACAAAGGGAACAAUGUAUUUUGUUAUGCGGUUUGAUCGAUAAAGAUCUUCGUAGAAUAUGUAGGAGCCAAUAUGAGCAUCUAGGUUCCGUUAUUGGUUAUUGACCGGAGAUGUGUCUUGGUCAUGUCUACAUAGUUCUCGAACCCAUAGGGUCCACACACUUAACGUUUGAUGACAAUCUGUAUUAUGAGCUAUGUGAUUUGAUGACUGAAGUUUUUUCGGAGUCCCGGAUGAGAUCACGGACAUGACAAGUAGUCUCAAAAUGGUUGAGACAUAAAUAUUCAUAUAUUGGAAGGUUACAUUCGGACACCGGAAUGGUUCGGGUCGUUUCGGAGUACCGGGGGUUAUUGGAACCCCCUCGGGAAGUUAUUGGGCCUCAUCGGCCUAGUGGUGGAGGAGAGAAGGCCGGCCAGGGAGUGGCGUGCGCCCCCCUAGCCUUUCUUUCUCUCCUCCUCGUCCUUCCCUCCUUCUCCUACUAGGCAUAGGAAAGAGGAGGGGAAUCCUACUUGGACUGGGGAGUCCUAGUAGGAUUCCCCACACCUAGCACGCCCCCUUUGGCCGGCCACCUCUUCCCUCCCCUCCUUUAUAUACGUGGCCAGGGAGCACCCCGUAGACAUACAAGUUGAUCUUUUAGCCGUGUGCAGUGCCUUCCUCCACAGUUACACACCUCGGUCAUAUCGUCGUAAUGCUUAGGCGAAGCCCUGCGCCGGUAACUUCAGCAUCACCGAUGCCACGCCGUCGUGCUGACGAAACUCUCCCUCGACCCUCUACGGGAUCAAGAGUUCGAGGGACGUCAUUGAGCUGAACGUGUGCUGAACUCGGAGGUGUCGUACGUUCGGUACUUGAUCAGUUGGAUCGCGAAGACGUUCGACUAAAUCAACUGCGUUAACAUAACGCUUCCGCUUUCGGUCUACGAGGGUACGUGGACACACUCUCCCUCUCUCAUUGCUAUGCAUCCCAUAGAUAGAUCUUGUGUGAUCGUAGGAAUUCUUUUAAAAUACUGCCUUCCCCAAUAGUGGCAUCCGAGCCAGGUCUAUGCGUAGAUGUUAUAUGCAGGAGUAGAACACAAAGAGUUGUGUGCGAUAAUAGUCAUACUGCUUACCAGCAACGUCUUACUUUGAUUCAGCGGUAUUGUUGGGUGAAGCGGCCCAGACCGACAUUACAUGACCGCAUUCAUGAGACUGGUUCUACCGAUGUGCUUCGGACACAGGUGGCUAGUGGGUGUCUGUUUAUCCAACUUUAGUUAAAUCGAGUUUGACUAUGCACGGUCCUUGUUGAAGGUUAAAACAGCACACUUGACGAAAAAUCGUUGUGGUUUUGAUGUGUAGGUAAGAACGGUUCUUGCUAAAGCCCGUAACAGCCACGUAAAACUUGCAACAACAAAGUAAAGGACGUCUAACUUGUUUUUGCAGGGCAUGUUGUGAUGUGAUAUGGUCAAGACGUGAUGAGAUAUAAAUUGUUGUAUGAGAUUAUCAUGUUUUGUUAAAGUUAUCGGCAACUGGCAAGCGCCUUAUGGUUGUCUCUUUAUUGCAUAAGAUGCAAGUGCCAUAUAAUUGCUUUACUUUAUCGCUAUGCAAUAGCAAUAGUUGCAAAAUCAAUAGUUGGCGAGACGACCAUGUGACGACACGUUGAUAAAGAUCAAGAUGAUGGAGAUCAUGGUGUCAUGCCAGUGACGAUGGAGAUCAUGACGGUACUUUUGAGAUGGAGAUUAAAGGCACAAGAUGAUGAUGGCCAUAUCAUGUCACAUAUUUUGAUUGCAUGUGAUGUUUAUAUUUUAUGCAUCUUAUUUUGCUUAGUACGACAGUAGCAUUAUGAGAUGAUCCCUUACUAAAAUUUCAAGGUAUAGGUGUUCUCCCUGAGUAUGCACCGUUGCGACAGUUCUUCAUGCUGAGACACCACGUGAUGAUCGGGUGUGAUAAGCUCUACGUUCACAUACAACGGGUGCAGGCCAGUUUUGCACAUGCAGAAUACUCGGGUUAAACUUGACAGCCUAGCAUAUGCAGAUAUGGCCUCGGAACACUGAGACCGAAAGGUCGAACAUGAAUCAUAUAGUAGAUAUGAUCAACAUAGUGAUGUUCACCAUUGAAAGCUACUCCAUCUCACAUGAUGAUCGUACAUCGUUUAGUUGAUAUGGAUCACGUGAUCAUUUAGAUGACUAGAGGGAUGUCUAUCUAAGUGGGAGUUCUUCAGUAAUAUGAUUAAUUGAACUUAAAUUUAUCAUGAACUUAGUCCUGAUAGUAUUUGCAUAUCUAUGUUGUAGAUCAAUUGCUCGCGUAUAGCUUCCCCGUUUUAUUUAUGACAUGUUCCUAGAGAAAACUAAGUUGAAAGUUGAUAGUAGCAAUGAUGCAGACUAGGUCCGUGAUCUGAGGAUUAUCCUCAUUGCUGCACAAAAGAAUUAUGUCCUUGAUGCACCGCUAGGUGACAGAACUAUUGCAGGAGCAAAUGUAGACGUUAUGAACGUUUGACAAGCUCGGUAUGAUGACUGCUUGAUAGUUUAGUGCACCAUGCUUUACGGCUUAUAUAACAUCCCAAAUUUUCAAUUUGGAAUGUUAUACACUAGAUCAUCAUUGCAUAUCAUAUUUAUUGCAUUUUGGUUGAUCCUAGAAAUUUUUCGCAACUCAAGGACCCUCGGAGAGAGUUGGGGAUUUCGUUAUUUUCAUAUUUGAGUUGUCUCAAAUUUUGAAAAUAGGAUCAUUUGAUUUUAUUUAUUUUAUCUUCAAUUAUUUCUAUUACAAAAAAUUAUGAGAGAGGGAAUAAAAUGACUUUCCCAAAAUAAAGAAAUAUUGAGGAUUUAAUAAAAAAAUCAUUUAAGAUUUUAUUUGGUUUUAUUUGCUAUUUUAUUUGAAUUUAGGAAAAUGCGCGUUUUUUAGAAUUGCAUUUAGGCCCCAAAUAAAUGUGCAUCCUGUGCGGCUUGAUUUUAGAAGCCGGGGAAAUUUUAUUUCGGAAUUUUUGGAGUCCGUUUAGUAGUCCUUUUCUUUUUUUUUCGAGCGUAAAUAUAUAAAAAUAAAAUAAUAAUAAAAACGUCCGAACCGACCUACGGGCCAUGCUAGGUCCGGACUCCUCCGGCCUCAGCCCUUAUAAACCGCCGACCCACCCCGGGCCGAAACCCUAGCCGCCGCCCGCCUCGAGCCCCGCGCCCGCGCCGCCGCCGCCCCGCCGGACCCCACCGCUGCCCCUCGCCGCCUUGCUGGAGCCGCCGCCGCCCGUCUCGCCGCCGAGUCACCGAGGUUGACCCGCCGGUUUUCAUUCGGUUUUUUGUUUCUGUUUUUUCUUUAGAUCUGUUUUUUUCUCGGUUUAGGCUAAUUAGCGAGCGUUCGCUCGUUCGUUCAUUUUAACGAACGCGUUCUUCGUUUAGAUCCAGUUAACGAACGUUCAUUCGUUAAAUUGUUCGUCAUUUUUCUUUUUCUCGGAUUAAAUCCGCGAUUUUUCAGAUCGCGAUUUCUGAUCCGAUUUUCGUUUUAGUCUAACUUUUCGCUCGUUUAUCGGAAUCAGGCGAUUCAAGCACCUGGAGUUUCGUCUCGAAACCCUCUUUCCGUUUAGCCAACCUAAACAAGUUUUUGCCACCGUAAAAAUUUCCUUAGAUCCAGAAUAGUAAACGAAGCCUUUUUUUGCCGUUUGUCUUCCGUUGCUUCGUUCGAUUUGAUUCUUUUUGCCAACCGGAGUUCUUAAGUUGAACUUUCUGGUUAGAUCUCUUAUUUGAGUUUUACCUGUGCAUUAGUUGAGUACUUAUUGUAUACUUGUUUGUUUGCGAUAGAGUACCCGGAGUGCGCCGCUUGCUACUUCGAAUCGCUAGGUUUCCCGGACCAUCAGCAAGGCAAGUAACACUUUGAUCAUGUUUUUCCCUCUACCCAGUUUUAUUGCAUUAGAUCAAUCCUUACACAUUGCAUGAUUAGGAUCUAAUUAAAUUGUGGGUUUGGGAAGUAGUUGAGGUAGUACCUAUUACCUGUUAUUAUCAAACUUUUGGGAGUUACUUCUACGUUUGCUUAUUAUGCCAUGCUAUGCUAGUAGACGUGGAUUGGGUGAGUGUAUCCAUGACAGAUGUGAGAUUGUUAAUUAAUGGUUUAUCUAAGGUGGCAACUUAAAUACACAUCUGGGUGGAUUGAGGCAUCUGGGUAUUCCAGCGAUUGCCUGUUUUUCUUUAUGGACCACCACCCAGGCUCAAAGGGAUCGUGAGAUUAUUCAUGCUAGAAACUUCCGUGUGCAGCCACAAGCUAUUAUGGGCUCUAGCAUAGUUGAAUAAGUUGUGUGAACUCUUACAGUGGUAGACUAGCAGAUGUAGGGGAUGUAGGUUGGUACGGUCUACCCGUUCGUAAGGUGCAAGCGCUUCUGAAAGACUAUGUCUCGGUCAUCCAUUUCUCAAACACCUUGUAGUGCGAGAAAUCCAACGGAGGAGAUCGAGUCUUGUGGGGAAAAGUGCGCAAACCUCUGCAGAGUAUAUAAACUAAUCAUGAUUAGCCGUGUCCCCGAUUAUGGACAUCUUGAGUAUCUAGUACCUGGAUUAUCAUGUGAAUCUCAACAUGUUACUCUAAAUUAAUUUUGGAUGGGUUUGUUUAAUGAUGAUGCUUAAUUGGGAUUGAGAAUGCUGUCAACCAUUCUCAAUGUUUAACAACCACCAUGAUAGUUAAAUAAAUUUAUUCCUUUGCAGUAGGAAAAAUUGGCUUUACGCAAAACUGUAACCAUAAGGCUUUCCACCAGCCAAAUAUGCAUAUAGAAUAGCUGUUUCAUUCCAUUACUCUCUAUGUGUUACUUUGCCAGCAUAUUCCAUGUGCUGACCCAUUUCGGGCUGCAACGUUAAUGUUGCAGACUUUUCAGACGACGAUUAAGGAGUUUUAGGUUGUGGUCCUAUACUUAGUGAUGCCGUUGGAGUUGAUGGACUCACUUAUCUUCCAAUCCUUCCGCUGUUAUCGUUAUUAGAUGGCCUUACGCCAUAUUUAUUGUAAUAAGUUCUCUUUUGAGACACUCGAUGUAAUAAGUGUGUGAGUGCUACUCUGUUAUAAAUCCUUCAAGUACUGUGUGGUGUCAGCAUUACUGAUCCAGGGAUGACACCUGAACACAGAGAUUGGACCGUUUGAGGUCUGGUCGCAACAGCUUACAACCGGGACUUCAAAAAAAAUUGAAACGCCAUGGAGCAUAUAAGAUGUUCCAAGAGUUGAAAUUGGUAUUUCAGAUUCAUGCCCGAGUCGAGAGGUAUGAGACCUCUGACAUGUAUUUUUGCCUACAAGAUGGAGGAGAAUAGCUCGACUAGUGAGCAUGUGCUUAGAAUGUCUGAGUACUAUAAUAGCUUGAAUCAAGUGGGAGUUAAUCUUCUAGAUAAGAUAGUGAUUGACAGAGUUCUCUAGUCACUAUCACCAAAGUUACUGGAACUUCAUGAUGAACUAUAAUAUGCAAGGGAUGACGAAAACGAUUCCCGAGCUCUUCGCGAUGCUGAAAUCGGCGAAGGUAGAAAUCAAGAAAAGCAUCAAGUGUUGAUGGUUGACAAGACCACUAGUUUCAAGUAAAAGGGUGAGGGAAAGAAAGUGAACUUCAAGAAGAAUGACAAGCAACUUGCCACUCCCAUGAAGAAGCCCAAAGCCAGACCCAAGCCUGAAACUGAGUGCUUCUACUGCAAAGGAAAUGGUCACUAGAAGCGGAACUACCCCAAAUACUUGGCGGAUAAUAAGGAUGGCAAAAGUGAACAAAAGUAUAUAUGAUAUACAUGUUAUUUAUGUGUACUUUACUAGUGUUCAUAGUAGCCCCUGGGUACUUGACACUGGUUCAGUUACUAUGAUUAGUAACUCGAAACAGGAGUUACAAAAUGAACAAAGACUAGUUGAGGGCGAGGUGACGAUGUGUGUUGGAAAUGAUUCCAAGGUUGAUAAGAUCACCAUCGCAUACUCCCUCUACCUUCGGGAUUAGUAUUGGAACUAAAUAAAUGUUAUUUGGUGUUUGCCUUGAGCAUAAAUAUGAUUGGAUCAUGUUUAUUGCGAUACGGUUAUUCAUUUAUGUCAGAGAAUAAUUAUUGUUCUAUUUACAUGAAUAGAACCUUCUAUGGUCUUACAUCCAGUGAAAAUGGUUUACUGAAUCUCGAUCACAGUGAUACACAUAAUAUUGAUGCCAAAAGAUGCAAAGUUAAUAAUGAUAGUGCAACUUAUUUGUGGUACUGCUGUUUAGGUCAUAUUGGUGUAAAGUGCAUGAAGAAACUCCAUGCUGAUGGGUGAUACGUCUCUGUCGUAUCUACUUUUCCAAACACUUUUGCCCUUAUUUUGUACUCUAACUUGUAUGAUUUGAAAGGAACUAACCCGGACUGACGUUGUUUUCAGCAGAAUUACCAUGAUGUUGUUUUAUGUGCAGAAAACAAAUAUUCUCGGAAUGACCUGAAACUCCACGGGAGGUCUUAGAAAAAAUAAUAAAAAAUCCUCGCCAAAUAUGAAGACCAGGGGGCCCACACCCUUCUCACGAGGGUGGGGCACGCCCCCUACCUCGUGGGCCCCCUGUUGACCCUCCGACGCCAACUCCAACUCUAUAUCUUUGCUUUCGGAGAGAAAAAAAUCAGAGAGAAGAAAUCAUCGCAUUUUACGAUACGAAGCCGCUGCAAAGCCCUAAAACCUCUCGGGAGGGCUGAUCUGGAGUUCGUUCGGGGCUCCGGAGAGGGGGAUUCCUCGCCGUCGUCAUCAUCAACCAUCCUCCAUCACCAAUUUCAUGAUGCUCACCGCCGUGCGUGAGUAAUUCCAUCGUAGGCUUGCUGGACGGUGAUGGGUUGGAUGAGAUUUAUCAUGUAAUCAAGUUAGUUUUGUUUAGGUUUGAUCCCUAGUAUCCAUUAUGUUCUGAGAUUGAUGUUGCUAUGACUUUGCUGUGCUUAAUGCUUGUCACUAGGGCCCGAGUGCCAUGAUUUCAGAUCUGAACCUAUUAUGUUUUCAUGAAUAUAUGUGAGUUCUUGCUCCUAUCUUGCAAGUCUAUAGUCACCUAUUAUGUGUUAUGAUCCGGCAACCCCGAAGUGACAAUAAUCGGGACCACUCGCGGUGAUGACCAUAGUUUGAGGAGUUCAUGUAUUCACUAUGUGCUAAUGCUUUGUUUCGGUUCUCUAUUAAAAGGAGGCCUUAAUAUCCCUUAGUUUCCAAUAGGACCCCGCUGCCACGGGAGGGUAGGACAAAAGAUGUCAUGCAAGUUCUCUUCCAUAAGCACGUAUGACUAUAUACGGAAUACAUGCCUACAUUACAUUGAUGAAUUGGAGCUAGUUCUGUGUCACCCUAUGUUAUGACUGUUACAUGAUGAACCACAUCUGGCAUAAUUAUCCAUCACUGAUCCGGUGCCUACGAGUUUUCCAUAUACUGGUUUACGCUUAUUUACUUUUCUGUAGCUACUGUUACAAUCACUACAAAAUACCAAAAACAUUACGUUUUCUAUCUUUACUUUUGUUGCCGCUACCACCACUAUCAUAUUACUUUGCUACUAAACACUUUGCUGCAGAUACUAAGUUUCCAGGUGUGGUUGAAUUGACAACUCAGCUGCUAAUACUUGAGAAUAUUCUUUGGCUCCCCUUGUGUCGAAUCAAUAAAUUUGGGUUGAAUACUCUACCCUUGAAAGCUGUUGCGAUCCCCUAUACUUGUGGGUUAUCAAUGGGCUUUUGGAAUCACUUGAUGCUUGUGAAUCAUCCCUCAUGGGCAACAUGACUAGAACUCCGUUCUCCGGAACAAUGGAGCGAGCCACUGACUUAUUAGAAAUAAUACAUACUAAUGUAUGAUGUCCGAUGAGUGUUGAGGCUCGCGGCGGGUAUCGUUAUUUUCUGACCUUCAUAGAUGAUUUAAGCAGAUAUGGGUAUAUCUACUUAAUGAAACACAAGUCUGAAACAUUUGAAAAGUUAAAAAAAAUCAGAGUGAAGCUGAGAAUCAUCGUAACAAGAAAAUAAAGUUUCUACGAUCUGAUCGCGGAAACAAAUAUUUGAGUUACGAGUUUGGCCAUCAUUUAAAACAAUGUGGAAUAGUUUCACAACUCAUGCCACCUCGAACACCACAGAGUAAUGGUGUGUCUGAAUGUCGUAACCGUACUUUAUUAGAUAUGGUGUGAUCUAUGAUGUCUCUUAACGAUUUACCACUAUCAUUUUGGGGUUAUGCAUUAGAGACAGCUGCAUUCAUGUUAAAUAGGGCACCGUCUAAAUCCGUUGAGACGACACCGUAUGAACUAUGGUUUGCCAAGAAACCUAAGUUGUCGUUUCUUAAAGUUUGGGAUUGUGAUGCUUAUGUAAAAAAACUUCAACUUGAUAAGCUCGAACCCAAAUUGGAGAAAUGCGUCUUCAUAGGAUACCCAAAGGAAACUGUUGGGUACACCUUCUAUCAUAGAUUCGAAGGCAAGAUAUUCAUUGCUAAUAAUGGAUCCUUUCCGGAGAAGGAGUUUCUCUCGAAAGAAGUAAGUGGGUGGAAAGUAGAACUUGAUGAGGUAAUUGUACCUGCUCCCGAAUUGGAAAGUAGUUCAUCACAGAAACCAGUUCCAGUUAUUCCUACACCAAUUAGUGAGGAAGCUAAUGAUGAUGAUCAUGAAACUUCAGAUCAAGUUACUACUGAACCUCAUAGGUCAACCAGAGUAUGGUCCGCACCAGAGUGGUACAGUAAUCCUUUCUAGAAGUCAUGUUACUAGACCAUGACGAACCUACGAACUAUGAGGAAGCAAUGAUGAGCCCAGAUUCCGCGAAAUGGCUUAAGGCCAUGAAAUCUGAGAUGGGAUCCAUGUAUGAGAAUGAAGUAUGGACUUUGAUUGACUUGCCCGAUGAUCGGCGAGCCAUUGAGAUUAAAUGGAUCUUCAAGAGGAAGACCGACGCUGAUAGUAGUGUUACUAUCUACAAAGCUCGAAUUGUCGCGAAAGGUUUUCGACAAGUUCAAGGUGUUGACUACGAUGAGAGUUUCUCACUCGUAUCUAUGUUUAAAGUCUGUCCGAAUCAUGUUAGCAAUUGCCACAUUUUAUGAAAUUUGGCAAAUGGAUGUCUGAUACAUCUCCAACGUAUCUAUAAUUUUUGAUUGUUCCAUGCUAUUAUAUUAUCUGUUUUGGAUGUUUAAUGGGCUUUACUAAGCACUUUUAUAUUAUUUUUGGGACUAACCUACUAACCAAAGGCCCAGUGCAAAUUGCUGUUUUUUGCCUAUUUCAGUGUUUUGCUGCAAAGGAAUAUGAAACGGAAUCCAAACGGAAUGAAACCUUCGUGAGAGUUAUUUUUGGAACAAACGUGAUCGAGGGGACUUGGGGUGGGCGUCAAGAAAGAAGCGAGAAGGCCACGAGGCAGGAGGGCGCGCUUGCCCCCUAGGCGCGCCCCACCCUCGUGGGCCCCUCAUAGCUCCACCGACCUAGUUCUUCCUCCUAUAUAUAUAUCCAUAUACCCUGAAAACAUCCAGGAGCACCACGAAACCCUAUUUCCACCGCCGCAACCUUCUGUACCCGUGAGAUCCCAUCUUGGGGCCUUUUCCGGAGCUCCGCCGGAGGGGGAAUUGAUCACGGAGGGCUUCUACAUCAACACCAUAGCCUCUUCGAUGAUGUGUGAGUAGUUUACCACAGACCUUCGGGUCCAUAGUUAUUAGCCAGAUGGCGUCUUCUCUCUCUCUUUGGAUCUCAAUACAAAGUUCUCCUCGAUUCUCUUGGAGAUCUAUUCGAUGUAAUUCUUUUUGUGGUGUGUUUGUCGAGAUCUGAUGAAUUGUGGGUUUAUGAUCAAGAUUAUCUAUGAACAAUAUUUGGUUCUUCUUUGAAUUCUUAUAUGUAUGAUUUAAUUAUCUUUGCAAGUCUCUUCGAAUUAUCAGUUUGGUUUGGCCUACUAGAUUGAUCUUUCUUGCAAUGGGAGAAGUGCUUAGCUUUGGGUUCAAUUUUGCGGUGUUCUUCCCCUGUGACAGCAGGGGCAGCAAGGCACGUAUUGUAUUGUGGCCAUCGGGGAUAAAAAGAUGGGGUUUAUAUCAUAUUGCUUGAGUUUAUCCCUCUACAUCAUGUCAUCUUGCCUAAUGCGUUACUCUGUUCUUAUGAACUUAAUACUCUAGAUGCAUGCUGGAUAGCGGUCGAUGUGUGGAGUAAUAGUAGUAGAUGAAGAAUCAUUUCAGUCUACUUGUGACAGACGUGAUGCCUAUAUACAUGAUCAUGCCUAGAUAUUCUCAUAACUAUGCACUUUUCUAUUAAUUGCUCGACAAUAAUUCAUUCACCCACCGUAAAUUAUGCUAUCUUGAGAGAAGCCACUAGUGAAACCUAUGGCCCCCGGGUCUAUCUUCCAUCAUAUUACUUUCCUAUGAAUUUACUAUUUCCGCUAUCUUUUAUUUUGCAAUCUUUAUUUUCCAUUCUACUCCCUCCAUUCCUUUAUGUAAGGUGUAUUAUUUUCGGCACGGUGACCAAGGCACAAAAUUGUAGACAUGUUAAGACCAAAUUACCCUUGGCAAAUUUGUUGGUUAGUGGCAAGUAAAUUAUUUAGUCUAGGAAAGUAAGAGAUACAUGCAAUCGACAAAGAGAUACUUUCCUUCUUUUGCUACAAGGAGAGAUACAGACAAUCAGGAAAUAGAUACUUUCCUUUUUUCUAGAGGGCUAGCAAGGGAAUUAUAAGGAAUUACAAGAAAUGUACCUUACAUUGUGAAAUUUUAUCAAAACACAAAUACACCAUAUAUAAAGGAAUGGAGGGAGUAUAUCAUAAAAAACCAAAAAUAUUUAUCUUAUUAUCUCUAUCAGAUCUCACUUUUUCAAGUGGUCGUGAAGGGAUGGACAACCCCUUUAUCGCGUUGGUUGCAAGGUUCUUAUUUGUUUGUGUAGGUACGAGGCGACUUGUGUGUGGUCUCUUACUGGAUUGAUACCUUGGUUCUCAAAAACUGAGGGAAAUACUUACGCUGCUUUGCUGCAUCACCCUUUCCUCUUCAAGGGAAAACCAACACAUGCUCAAGAGGUAGCAAUGUCAAAACUACAUUCCUUAAUGGAUCUCUUAAAGAAGAGUUGUAUAUGAUGCAACCAGAAGGUUUUGUCAAUCCAAAAGGUGCUAACAAAGUGUGUAAGCUCCAGUGAUCCAUUUAUGGACUGGUGCAAACAACUCGGAGUUGGAAUGUACGCUUUGAUAGUGUGAUCAAAGCAUAUGGGUUUAUACAGACUUUUGGAAAAGCCUGUAUUUACAAGAAAGUGAGUGGGAGCUCUAUAGCAUUUCUGAUAUUAUAUGUGGAUGACAUAUUGUUGAUUGGAAAUAAUACAGAAUUUGUAGAUAGCAUAAAAGGAUACUUGAAUCAGAAUUGUUCAAUAAAAGACCUCAGUGAAGCUACUUACAUAUUGGGCAUCAAGAUCCAUAAAGAUAGAUCAAGACACUUGAUAAGACUUUCGAUGAGUACAUACCUUGAUAAGAUUUUGAAGGAGUUCUAAAUGGAUCAGUCAAAGAAGGAGUUCUUGCCUGAGUUGUAAGGUGUAAAGUCGAGUAAAGACUCAAAACCCAACCACAACAGAAAAUAGAAAGAGGAUGAAAGUCAUUCCCUAUGCCUCAAUCAUAGGUUCUAUAAAGUAUGAUAUGCUGUAUACCAGACCUAUUGUUUACCUCACCAUGAGCUUGGCAAGAGGGUACAAUAGUGAUCCAGGAGUGGAUCACUGGAUAGCAGUCAAAACUAUCCCGAGUGGAAUAAGGAUAUGUUUCUCGGUUAUGGUGGUGACAAAGAGUUCGUCGUAAAGAGUUAUGUCGAUGCAAGCUUUAAACCGAUCUGGUUGACUCUGAGUCUCAAUCUGGAUACAUAUUAAAAGUGGGAGCAAUUAGCUAGAGUAGCUCCAUGCAGAGCAUUGUAGACAUAGAAAUUUGUAAAAUACAUACAGAUCUGAAUGUGGCAGACCCGUUGACUAAACUUCUCUCACAAGAAAAACAUGAUCACAUCUUAGUACUCUUUGGGUGUUAAUCACAUGGAGAUGUGAACUAGAUUAUUGACUCUAGUGCAAGUGGGAGACUGAAGAAAAUAUGCCCUAGAGGCAAUAAUAAAGUUGUUAUUUAUAUUUCCUUAUAUCAUGAUAAAUGUUUUUUAUUCAUGAUAGAAUAGUAUUAACCGGAAACUUAGUACAUGUGUGAAUACAUAGACAAACAGAGUGUCCCUAGUAUGCCUUUACUAGACUAGCUCAUUAAUCAAAGAUGGUUAAGUUACCUGACCAUAGACAUGUGUUGUCAUUUGAUGAACGGGAUCACAUCAUUAGAGAAUGAUGUGAUGGACAAGACCCAUCCGUUAGCUUAGCACUAUGAUUGUUUCGUUUAUUUGUAUUGCUUUCUUCAUGACUUAUACAUGUUCCUAUGACUAUGAGAUUAUGCAACCCCCGAAUACCGGAGGAACACUUAGUGUGCUAUCAAAUGUCACAACAUAACUGUGUGAUUAUAAAUAUGCUCUAGAGGUGUCCCCGACGGUGUUUGUUGAGUUGGCAUAGAUCGAGAUUAGGAUUUGUCACUCCGUGUAUCAGAGAGGUAUCUAGGCCCUCUUGGUAAUGCACAUCACUAUGAGCCUUGCAAGCAAUGUGUAUAAUGAGUUAAUCACGGGAUAAUGCAUUACGGAACGAGUAAAGAGACUUGCCGGUAACGAGAUUGAACUAGGUAUAAUGAUACCGAUGAUCGAAUCUCCGGCAAGUAACAUACCGAUGACAAAGGGAACAACGUAUGUUGUUAUGCAGUUUGACCGAUAAAGAUCUUCGUAGAAUAUGUAGGAGCCAAUAUGAGCAUCCAGGUUCUGCUAUUGGUUAUUGACCGGAGAUGUGUCUCGGUCAUGUCUACAUAGUUCUCGAACCCGUAGGGUCCGCACGCUUAACAUUCGAUGACGAUUUGUAUUGUGAGUUAUGUGAUUUGAUGAUCGAAGUUUGUUCGGAGUCCCAGAUGAGAUCACGGACAUGACGAGGAGUCUCGAAAUGGUCAAGACAUAAAGAUUCAUAUACUGAAAGGUUACAUUCGGACACCGGAAUGGUUCGGGUCGNNNNNNNNNNNNNNNNNNNNNNNNNNNNNNNNNNNNNNNNNNNNNNNNNNNNNNNNNNNNNNNNNNNNNNNNNNNNNNNNNNNNNNNNNNNNNNNNNNNNNNNNNNNNNNNNNNNNNNNNNNNNNNNNNNNNNNNNNNNNNNNNNNNNNNNNNNNNNNNNNNNNNNNNNNNNNNNNNNNNNNNNNNNNNNNNNNNNNNNNNNNNNNNNNNNNNNNNNNNNNNNNNNNNNNNNNNNNNNNNNNNNNNNNNNNNNNNNNNNNNNNNNNNNNNNNNNNNNNNNNNNNNNNNNNNNNNNNNNNNNNNNNNNNNNNNNNNNNNNNNNNNNNNNNNNNNNNNNNNNNUCCUUCCCUCGUUCUCCUACUAGGAAUAAGAAAGAGGAGGGGAAUCCUACUUGGACUAGGGAGUCCUAGUAGGAUUCCCCACACCUUGCGCGCCCCCCUUGGGCCGGCCACCUCUUCCCUCCCCUCCUUUAUAUACGUGGCCAGGGAGCACCCCAUAGACACACAAGUUGAUCUUUUAGCCGUGUGCGGUGCCCCCUCCGCAGUUACACACCUCAGUCAUAUCGUCGUAAUGCUUAGGCGAAGCCCUGUGCCGGUAACUUCAUCAUCACCGUCGCCACGCCGUCGUGCUGACGUAACUCUCCCUCGACCCUCUGCUGGAUCAAGAGUUCGAGGGAUGUCAUCGAGCUGAACGUGUGCUGAACUUGGAGGUGUCGUACGUUCGGUACUUGAUCGGUUGGAUCGCGAAGACGUUCAACUACAUCAACCGCGUUAACAUAACGCUUCCGCUUUCGGUCUACGAGGGUACGUGGACACACUCUCCCUCUCUCAUUGCUAUGCAUCUCCUAGAUAGAUCUUGCGUGAUCGUAGGAUUUUUUUUGAAAUACUGCGUUCCCCGACACCACAUUCUUGCCGGUGUAGAGCAUGCCGCUCCACAUUGGAGGCGGCUUUGGGUAGACGCGACCUCUCACUGCCUCUGCCAUUGAAGCGGCACACCGCACGCUUUACGCCCGCCUGAACACGCCUCCUCACUGCAUUCAAACGCCUUCAUUAAACUCCCAUGGAAGCCAAGGAACCAACUCCAGCCACAUGUCCGUUCACGAACGGGCCAACAUUAAACACAAUGCCGACCAAGCUCCUUGCGUCCAUCCUCUAUUUAAAUGAGGCCAGAUGCAGGGAAAGAAUCGCAGCACUCCGCCGCUCCCCAUCUCCUCCUUCCACCAAUUUCUCCACUCUUUUGAUGGCAUCCGACGAGCCGGGAGAGCAGUUCUCCUGCAUAAAAGCCGGCUGGGUGGCUCAACGAGCCUUCUGGAUAUGAGCGAGGCAGCUCGCUGCUCCUCCUACCUCACCUAGCCCGACGGAGCCAAUUGGCACCCCAAGCCGGUGCGUGGUUCAAUAACUCACCACUCAAAGCCAGCUCGCAGAGGAGUGGCGAGUUGCUCCAUCUCGGCAUGGUGGGGAUCGCACGGCAACACGAGCAUCGCCGCCUCCAGUGCCUGCGACCGCGCCAUCCGCUGUCGACGCAUGCGUAGCCGCGCCAUGCACACAGGAAAAGAAGCCGGCUACGCGGAUGUUGAUGAGGUGGCGGCCAUCACGUUCGCGCCCGCCUCCAUCAUCGGGAGAAGUAGAACACGGGAGGCCGCCGCGGCUUGUAUUCCAUGGAGGCCACCGCUGGCGUGUCUCGGCUUGUACAGCGGGUGACCUGUAAGCACCCGUCUGGGCUCCACGGAAGCACCUUUCCCUCCAACUGAAGCACUCUCUUUGCCACUCCGAUGAGCGGCGUACCCGGGCAUAGGGAAGAUACGGGAGAAGAAUAUGCCUUCGGGACUCCGGGUAGUCCGGUUAGCGGGCUACUGGACAUAGGGAAGACAAACUGAUCCGCCGCGUUCGGCCAAAGACUAGUCUAGUGUAUCCGCGUCGUGGGAGUGGAACUCCACGCGACUGUACGUGCACUAGUUAUAUCUUGUUAGUUAAAAUAUGUCCAAAAUGUAACCAUUUUCAUCAGGUUUGUAUGAAAUCCGUCAUGUAUAUAUGAAAUCCGUCUGAGUUCGCAUGAAUUUUAUCCGGUUUGUUAAAAAGAGUUUGAAAUAUAUGCUGCCAGCGUUGGAUGACGGCCUCCUGUAUUUAUUUCAGUGGACUGGUUCCUCCAUCCACGGAUAAAAUUUGUGGGUUGCCGUUGAAAAUGCCCUUAUUUGCGCAUGCGCAAGGGACACAUGGCGUACGAGGUAUUAUGAUCGCCUGGGGACUAGACUAUUAGAGCAACUCCAAAGGGCCGACCCAUUUCGUCCGCCUGCGUCCGUUUGGGUCGGCACGGACAAAAGUGGCGGCCCAAUGCGCCGACGCAUUUGCGGCCCAAAUUUGCACCCCAAAUGCGUCGGCGCGGACGCCGAACGGACGCUUCGCGCGCCUUCUCGCAGCCGCCGCGUCACCACAUGGCGGUCGUCCAACUACUCGCUGCCCACGCGGUCAGCUUAAUUUAUGACGAUGGGCCCACGCGUCAGCGACAGCGCUCGUCCUUUUUUAAGCCGACCAUGCGGCGGGGCCAUCCUCAUCCAAACUCGCCGUCCACAUCUGCCCACCUUUGCUCCCUCGUCGCCGCAAACCCUAGCCACCACAACCACAGCGAGAUGGGCCUCUUCUCCGGCGCCAGCGGCAGCAAGGCCAAGGGCAAGUCCCCCGCCACCCCUUUCCCCUCAGAGUUCCUCCCACCUCCGCCGGCGCCGGUGCCUCGUCGGCAGAGGCAGCGCGUGAACGUGCCAGUGCACCAGGCAGAGUGGCACUGGCAGCACCGCCAGCCUUUGCCGUAUCCGGACGUGAUGCUGUCGCACGACUGGCAUCUGGAUCCAGAUAGGAUCCCAGUGCCGGCGGCGCCGCGGACGGCUCGUGUUCACGCGGAGGAGGUGCGGCGCCUGCGGGCGCUGCUGACGCCGGAGCAGCGCCACGACCAGGCCUACGCAACCGACUCGCCCAACUGGGCGAGGUGGUUCGCCUUCGAGCACGAGGAGGCGAGGCGAUGGGGCGUGCGCGAGGUCGACCGGAGGUCGCCGCCACCGGGGCUCGUCGUCCGCGAGGAGGACCAGGCGGCGGAGGAUGCCUACAAGGCGGCCCUUGCGGCCGUCUACCGGGAGAGUGAGGAGGACGAGCGGCGCAGAGCGAAGGCGGCGAAGGCGUUACGAGGAGGCUCGGUUCGAGGCGGCAAUGGCGCAGGCUCUUGCCCUCUCCGCGGCGGGCGACAGCGUGGUGCCGCCGUUGGCCCCGCCGUCCCCCAUCAAGCCGGAGCCCGAGCCCAAGCCCAUCGCACGCUUCUCCUAGAGGGGAGUGGUGCGUGAGUGGGUGUCCGCGCCACCGGUUUGGCUGGGGACGACGCCGGCGCAGGAGCAGGCGUACCUCGAGAUGUGGCGCCUGCGCCGGUUGGCAGAGGAGCGCCGUCGCGGCGAGUACGAGGAGAUGCUCGAACGCGACCUCGAGGAGGAGCAGCGCGAGGCCGAGGAGGAGGCGCGCCAGGCCGCGGCUGCACAGGCAGCCGCACACCCCCGCCCCGGCACUGCCUGCGCCGGCACAGCCCGACAUGACGGCGCUCUGGAACACGACGUUCGCCUGGGCCAGGCCGGCGCCGACACUCAUCGACCUCACGGACCCCGAGGACGACGACGCCGCCGCCUAGGGCAGCGCGCCGCCUCGUAGUUUAGGCUGUUUUUAUUUAUUUUUAAAUGUAAAUGUGGACGCGUGGACUUUCGCCGGCCUUCAUGGCCGGCUUUAAUGUUUAAUUAAUGUUGUUUUUUAAUAUACAUACAUUCAUUUUUUUUGGCGCCGUCAAAAUGGGUCUCAGGCCAGCGUUGGGCGCACGCGCCAACCCAAAUGCGAAAGCGGGCAUCCUGUUCGUCUGGCCGAGCCAAACGAAGAAAAGCGGAUGAAAUCGCCGUCCAUUUGGAUCGGCCUGUUGGAGUCGCUCUUAAGCAGUAAAGAAAAGAUCACGGUCUCUGUCUCAUCUGUCACUCUGUCACUCUGUCACAUGUAUGCAUGCAUGUGCAUGUUCACACAGCUAGUCAGGUUAGGUAGGAAGUACUUCGCACCUGGAGAUGACAGCGGUUGGUACUUGCCAGUAGUUUGGAUUAUCCUUGAGCCGAUUCAAGUAUACGCGGACGACAAAUAUCCUGCUCUGAUGAUCGACAAGGCAAAUAUUCCGCUUUCUGCAUGCGACAAAAAGCUAGAGAAGUAGCGAGUGAAUAGUCACAUCACCUUCGGAAUUACUCGCUAAAGAAUAAUGAUAAAGGAGGCCAGCUGUCGAUCAGUAAUUCGACCCAGGAAGAACUUAUCCCUGUGCGCCCACAAUUUUUGGACUAUUAAAAUGUUGCAAAAUAAUUGUAAAAAAAAUUCAAAACAAACAUCAACCUGAAUACAUAGCUCAAGAAAUAAAAAUAAUAAUCAAUGUUGAUAGCCAUGUUAAUGAGCCGAAUUUGAACUAGCUACUUUAUUUUUUUGCGAGUAUAGCUAGGUUUGUCCUUUUUGUUUCUUGAGUUGUAUUUGAGUUUGGAUUGGAUUUUUUCUGACGAGCGAUAUUAUUUCAUUUAUGUAUUUGUACUAUAUUUGAAUUUCAAGACUUCUACGCUAAGGUUUCUGGAUUAGAGAAUACUGGCAAUACCUCACACAUGACUUUUAUGGUGAGAUUUUGCCUUUGAAGCUAUCGGUAUUUAUUUCGGAAAGAGUGUCGAUCAGUGAUAGGCACCUAGGAGUAUAGAAGUACCAAAUAGUGUAUGAUAUUUCAAUGGUAUAAGCUGGGUGGCAACUGUUUUUGCUAUUUCCAGGUCACCGUUGAGAACUGUUCAAUUAUACUAUAUAUACAAGUGUAGUUGGGAUGACACAAUAUUGAUCAUAUGGCUAGGAGCGGUUGAAAGAGAAAUAAUUAUUCUAAGUUGAGCAAACCACAUCAUUCCCUAAAAUAAUUGUUUAUCUAAAGCAAAAACUAAGUAUCACACUCUUUCUAAACUAUUUUUUUAUGUUUUUAAAAUAUAUGACAUUUUGGACAUUGCCGCAGUUUCCAAGGGGUAACUCUACAGUUAUGUUUACACGAAUGUGCCACUACAAUUUGUAAAAUUACAGAGUCAUGGAACCUGAUUUUUUUUGUUUAUUUGACGAAACUCGAUUUGAUGUUGAUAAUUAAAGUUUGAAAGUGUUGAUCCCAUCUGUUUUCUCAAAGUAAUCUAAUUUACAACAGAGGGACAGUUGUCUAGCUAUCUAGUAACUACUAGUAAUCCUUCACUGAACUAGGGAUUUAUUUAAUAAUUCCAAGAUGAGGUUCACUGUGUCAGUAUAUUCUGAACUAGCUUAUUAAUGGUUGUUUCCUUAUGGAAGUAACGGGAAGUUAGUGUUAACUGUUAUCUGACUCGGGACGGGAAGAAAUGAUCAAUUAGUUUGUUAAGUUGUGUGUACUGCUGUGUGUGGUAGAAUUAGUUUUCCAGUUCAAUAAGGUUCUCAAUAUCGUUUGCUUAGAGGAAUGGCUGGAAAUGAGCUCGACUUUAAAUUAAUAAAGCGAUAAUCGGCGACGUGUAUCACGUAGCAUGCUAGGGUUGCCAGCUAUCAUACAAGUGCUCUUUUUCUCCUCUCGCAAAGUUACAAAAGUAGGGAAGUCGAUACAAAUAGUGCAAUGCCAGUACCAAAGUAUAGCAUCACGAGAAUGAGACCAUUCAAACAGACUACAUGCAUAUAUACAAUUUCAAUUCAAGCACAGUGCAAAAAAUAGUAAAACUUGCAAAUGUAGUAUAUAGUAAUAAUGGAAAAUAGCAAAUCUUUUAUUUAGUCGGAGAUAGCGGUACAUCAUGAGCACUCUGGCAAUAACCAACUCAUCACAAACAUGUGACGAUUACGACAACACAUCAUGCACACACACACAACGAAAUCCUUACGCACGCAGGUAACAGUGCGUGCUUGUACGUACGUAGAACCUGGAGAAGUAGUACGUAGUUUCUCCGCAAUCGAAAUCCAGCCACACAUAAAAACCAGCAGAUGAUUAAGAAAUUAAAGCACACAACAAGUACGUAGUGGUACUUCAAAUAGCCAGUCAUGCAUGCAUGCGUGCGUGCAUGAGGUAUGGCGGAUGCAGGGUCCGGCCGGCUCAGUUGGGGCACUGGAAGCCGGAGGGGACGUUCUUGCCGCAGUUGUUGAGGACGAGGCUGAGGGCGAUGGGCAAGGUCAGGUUGAUGCCCAGAAGGUUGAGGUUCAGCGUCGUGCAGAGGCACAGCGCCGCCUCGAGGUCCGCCAGCCCCUGGAUCAGCGAGCAGCACGGCUGCACCGGCGGGCUCCCCAGGGUAAGGUUCAGCAGCCCGAGCACGUUCGCGCACACCCCCAGCUUCAGCGCGUCCAGAGGGCACUGGGUGCUGUUUCCGCCCCCACCGUUGCCGCCGCCACCAUUGCCACCGCCACCGUUUCCGCCGCCACCAUUCCCACCGCCACCGUUUCCGCCGCCACCGUUCCCNNNN
RNAcentral lists this long non-coding RNA (24229 nucleotides) under Triticum aestivum (bread wheat). Its description in RNAcentral is "long non-coding RNA (TAES_LNC021222)". Lineage: Eukaryota; Viridiplantae; Streptophyta; Magnoliopsida; Poales; Poaceae. The record is from RNAcentral.